Molecule: ribosomal RNA, 253 nt
Filed under: uncultured bacterium
Lineage: Bacteria
Description: partial 16S ribosomal RNA
Rfam family: Bacterial small subunit ribosomal RNA
Source: RNAcentral
UACAGAGGUGGCAAGCGUUGUUCGGAAUUACUGGGCGUAAAGGGCGCGUAGGCGGCCUUCUAAGUCAGACGUGAAAUCCCCCGGCUUAACCUGGGAACUGCGUCUGAUACUGGGAGGCUUGAGUAUGGGAGAGGGAUGUAGAAUUCCAGGUGUAGCGGUGAAAUGCGUAGAUAUCUGGAGGAAUACCGGUGGCGAAGGCGGCAUCCCGGACCAUUACUGACGCUGAGGCGCGAAAGCUAGGGGAGCAAACGGG